UACGGAGGGUGCAAGCGUUAUCCGGAUUCACUGGGUUUAAAGGGUGCGUAGGCGGAUAGGUAAGUCCGUGGUGAAAUCCUGCAGCUUAACUGCAGAACUGCCGUGGAUACUAUCUAUCUUGAAUGUCGUGGAGGUUAGCGGAAUAUGUCAUGUAGCGGUGAAAUGCUUAGAUAUGACAUAGAACACCCAUUGCGAAGGCAGCUAACUACGCGAUAAUUGACGCUGAUGCACGGAAGCGUGGGGAUCAAACAGG
This 253-nucleotide ribosomal RNA is filed under the name uncultured bacterium. RNAcentral describes it as "partial 16S ribosomal RNA". It matches the Rfam family "Bacterial small subunit ribosomal RNA", at positions 524 to 776 of the family's 1533-position model. The record is from RNAcentral.